ACACAUGCAAGUCGAACGGCAGCACAGAAGAGCUUGCUCUUUGGGUGGCGAGUGGCGGACGGGUGAGUAAUGUCUGGGAAACUGCCCGAUGGAGGGGGAUAACUACUGGAAACGGUAGCUAAUACCGCAUAACGUCGCAAGACCAAAGUGGGGGACCUUCGGGCCUCACACCAUCGGAUGUGCCCAGAUGGGAUUAGCUAGUAGGUGGGGUAAUGGCUCACCUAGGCGACGAUCCCUAGCUGGUCUGAGAGGAUGACCAGCCACACUGGAACUGAGACACGGUCCAGACUCCUACGGGAGGCAGCAGUGGGGAAUAUUGCACAAUGGGCGCAAGCCUGAUGCAGCCAUGCCGCGUGUAUGAAGAAGGCCUUCGGGUUGUAAAGUACUUUCAGCGGGGAGGAAGGCGGUGAGGUUAAUAACCUCGCCGAUUGACGUUACCCGCAGAAGAAGCACCGGCUAACUCCGUGCCAGCAGCCGCGGUAAUACGGAGGGUGCAAGCGUUAAUCGGAAUUACUGGGCGUAAAGCGCACGCAGGCGGUCUGUUAAGUCAGAUGUGAAAUCCCCGGGCUUAACCUGGGAACUGCAUUUGAAACUGGCAGGCUUGAGUCUCGUAGAGGGGGGUAGAAUUCCAGGUGUAGCGGUGAAAUGCGUAGAGAUCUGGAGGAAUACCGGUGGCGAAGGCGGCCCCCUGGACGAAGACUGACGCUCAGGUGCG
This 715-nucleotide ribosomal RNA is filed under the name Pantoea agglomerans. RNAcentral's name for it is "bacterial SSU rRNA". It matches the Rfam family "Bacterial small subunit ribosomal RNA", at positions 51 to 755 of the family's 1533-position model. The record is from RNAcentral. Lineage: Bacteria; Pseudomonadati; Pseudomonadota; Gammaproteobacteria; Enterobacterales; Erwiniaceae.